CCUACGGGUGGCUGCAUGUUCCCCAAUGCCGUCAUGAUGGACCGCGAGACGUGGCACCAGAUCCUGCGGGCCAUGAUCUCCGUGCGCGAUGCGCAUGGGUGGCAGGAAUGACACACACCGAAUGACGAAUGUCGAAAGUCAAAUGACGAAAGAAUGUCGAAGGUCAAAUGACGAAUGAAUGUCGAAAGUCAAAUGACGAAGGAAUGUCGAAAGUCAAAUGACGAAUGAAUGUCGAAGGUCAAAUGACGAAAGACGAAUGACGGACCAUCAGGGCGAGCAUCCGCGAAAGUACGAUUUGGAGGAACGGACGGCCAAAUUCGGCGAGGCGAUCAUAGACUUCGCACGCCGACUGCCCGUCAAUCCCGUGACCCAGCCGCUGAUACCCCUGUAGUC
This 393-nucleotide ribosomal RNA is filed under the name uncultured prokaryote. RNAcentral describes it as "partial 16S ribosomal RNA". The record is from RNAcentral.